RNAcentral lists this long non-coding RNA (337 nucleotides) under Mytilus galloprovincialis (Mediterranean mussel). The record is from RNAcentral. Lineage: Eukaryota; Metazoa; Mollusca; Bivalvia; Mytilida; Mytilidae.
CUCAUGAGCAAAAAUUUGUAAACACUAAACUCAUUUCAAUUUACUUACCCACUGUGCUCAUAAGGGAUUCUAAAAAUACAUACAGAUAAAGAUUAACUAACCAUUACAUGGUAACUAAUUUUCAGCUAUUUCUAGGGUUCGUUCAUUCUUGCUAUCACCUAAACUAUUCUUAUGUUCCAAACAUUUGGUGAUAAAAACAUAGCAGUUACAAAUGUUUACAAAUAUUUAGUGAUUGCAUUUAGCAAUUAUGGUCAAUGGAAUACCCAUAUUGAUAAUAUUAUAUCAAGUCCAUCUACGAAUAGCAAUAUGCUGAGAAAACUGAAAGACUCAGUUUAUA